GGAGGUAAAAGUCGUAACAAGGUCUCCGUAGGUGAACCUGCGGAGGGAUCAUUACAGAGUUCAUGCCCUAACGGGUAGAUCUCCCACCCUAUGUUAUCAUCACUUUGUUGCUUUGGCGGGCCGUCAGGCCUCGGCUUGGCUACCGGCUCUCGCUGGUAAGCGCCCGCCAGAGAACCCCAAACCCUGAAUAUCAGUGUCGUCUGAGUACUAUAUAAUAGUUAAAACCUUCAACAACGGAUCUCUUGGUUCUG
This 251-nucleotide unclassified non-coding RNA is filed under the name plant metagenome. Its description in RNAcentral is "partial contains small subunit ribosomal RNA, internal transcribed spacer 1, and 5.8S ribosomal RNA". The stretch from base 1 to 54 matches the Rfam family "Eukaryotic small subunit ribosomal RNA", at positions 1778 to 1831 of the family's 1831-position model. The record is from RNAcentral.